UACGUAGGGACCGAGCGUUGUCCGGAAUCAUUGGGCGUAAAGAGCGUGUAGGCGGCCACUUAAGUCCUGCGUGAAAUCUUGCGGCUCAACCGCAAGCGGUCGUGGGAAACUGGGUGGCUAGAGUGCGGGAGAGGAGAGUGGAAUUCCUGGUGUAGCGGUGAAAUGCGCAGAUAUCAGGAGGAACACCGAUGGCGAAGGCAGGUCUCUGGGCUGUAACUGACGCUGAGGAGCGAAAGCAUGGGGAGCGAACAGG
This 253-nucleotide ribosomal RNA is filed under the name uncultured bacterium. RNAcentral describes it as "partial 16S ribosomal RNA". It matches the Rfam family "Bacterial small subunit ribosomal RNA", at positions 524 to 776 of the family's 1533-position model. The record is from RNAcentral.